AUCGUUCAUCCACUAGGGACGGAAGUAAGCGUAUAAUAAAUGCUGAAGGAACGCAUU
The submitters of this non-coding RNA (57 nucleotides) gave its source as unclassified sequences. The record is from Rfam.